UACGAAGGGGGCUAGCGUUGUUCGGAAUUACUGGGCGUAAAGCGCACGUAGGAGGACUCUUAAGUCGGUGGUGAAAUCCUGGAGCUCAACUCCAGAACUGCCUUCGAUACUGGGAGUCUCGAGUCCGGGAGAGGUGAGUGGAACUGCGAGUGUAGAGGUGAAAUUCGUAGAUAUUCGCAAGAACACCAGUGGCGAAGGCGGCUCACUGGCCCGGUACUGACGCUGAGGUGCGAAAGCGUGGGGAGCAAACAGG
This 253-nucleotide ribosomal RNA is filed under the name uncultured bacterium. RNAcentral's name for it is "partial 16S ribosomal RNA". It matches the Rfam family "Bacterial small subunit ribosomal RNA", at positions 524 to 776 of the family's 1533-position model. The record is from RNAcentral.